GGCGAACGUUAGCGGCGGGCCUAACACAUGCAAGUCGAGCGAGAAAGUGGCUUCGGCCAUCAGUAAAGCGGCGGACGGGUGAGUAACACGUAGGUAAUCUUCCCUUGAGCGGGGGACAACGAGCCGAAAGGCUCGCUAAUACCGCAUAAGUUUCCAGAGACUCUGGUCUUUGGAAGGAAAGCUAGGCCGCAAGGUCCGGCACUCGAGGAGGAGCCUGCGUCGCAUCAGCUAGUUGGGGGGUAAUGGCCUACCAAGGCGAAGACGCGUAGCUGGUCUGAGAGGAUGAUCAGCCACACUGGGACUGAGACACGGCCCAGACUCCUACGGGAGGCAGCAGUGGGGAAUAUUGGACAAUGGGCGCAAGCCUGAUCCAGCCACGCCGCGUGAGUGAUGAAGGCC
Molecule: ribosomal RNA, 399 nt
Filed under: uncultured bacterium
Lineage: Bacteria
Description: bacterial SSU rRNA
Rfam family: Bacterial small subunit ribosomal RNA
Source: RNAcentral